AAAAGUUGUCUUUGAAAAGGUAUUUAUGUUCUUAAUGUAAAGAAGGCAGUUUACAUUACAUACAAAAAUACCCUUUGAAAUACAACUUUUUGCCCUACAAAAAGAAUGACAAGUAGAUUUUUUUUUUAAUUGUCCUAAAGGUAAGGUAAGGAAGAUUCAAACUGAGUGACGAAAUUAAUGUCUAGAUGAAUAAUUUGUUCAACUGCAAUACCUGUGAUAUAAAAAAUUAUAACGGUACAAAUAAAUAAAAUGUUAAGAAACCCCCAAAUGAAUAGUAAGUUUAUGUUCUCUUUACAUCCCAACAGGGUAGGACAGUAGCUUGUGGACAGAUGGAGAG
Sinocyclocheilus rhinocerous is the source of this 337-nucleotide long non-coding RNA. RefSeq lists it as uncharacterized. The record is from RefSeq and is a predicted model, not a curated record. Lineage: Eukaryota; Metazoa; Chordata; Actinopteri; Cypriniformes; Cyprinidae. The transcript is spliced from 4 exons.